This 73-nucleotide transfer RNA is filed under the name Bradyrhizobium sp. 6(2017). Its description in RNAcentral is "tRNA-OTHER". It matches the Rfam family "tRNA". From Rfam's summary of the family: Transfer RNA (tRNA) molecules are approximately 80 nucleotides in length. The record is from RNAcentral. Lineage: Bacteria; Pseudomonadati; Pseudomonadota; Alphaproteobacteria; Hyphomicrobiales; Nitrobacteraceae.
GUUCCCUUCGUCUACCGGCAGGAUAUCACCUUUCAAGGUGAGGAAACGGGUUCAACUCCCGUAGGGAGCGCCA